GAUGAACGCUAGCGGCAGGCUUAACACAUGCAAGUCGAACGAGACCUUCGGGUCUAGUGGCGCACGGGUGCGUAACGCGUGGGAAUCUGCCCCUUGGUUCGGAAUAACAGCGAGAAAUUGCUGCUAAUACCGGAUAAUGACGUAAGUCCAAAGAUUUAUCGCCAAGGGAUGAGCCCGCGUAGGAUUAGCUAGUUGGUGUGGUAAAGGCGCACCAAGGCGACGAUCCUUAGCUGGUCUGAGAGGAUGAUCAGCCACACUGGGACUGAGACACGGCCCAGACUCCUACGGGACGGCAGCAGUGGGGAAUUUUGGACAAUGGGCGCAAGCCUGAUCCAGCAAUGCCGCGUGCAGGAUGAAGGCC
Molecule: ribosomal RNA, 361 nt
Filed under: uncultured bacterium
Lineage: Bacteria
Description: bacterial SSU rRNA
Rfam family: Bacterial small subunit ribosomal RNA
Source: RNAcentral